AUGUUGUAUUGAGGGACAUGGUUUAGAGGAGCUAUUGGUAAUAGGUGAACGGUUGGACUGGAUGAUCUUUUAGGUCUUUUCCAACCUUGGUGAUUCUAAUCUAUGAGAAAUUAUACUAAUUUAACAGAAAAACAAUCACUGAAAAUCUGGAAUGUAUUUUAUUUUAUGUGUGCCAGGCCAUUACUUCCUUUUUUCCUUCACUGAGUAAGGCAAAUAGAAGUAAGGGAAAAGGGAAUCUAUAGUGUCCCCAUUCUGGCCAGCACCAGAUGCAAGUCCCGCCACCAGCAGGCAGGGAAUAGCACCUCAUCCACACGGAGACUCAUGGUAUUUGUAAAUACUUACUGACAGCUGAAGAUCUGAAGAACAGUGCUAAAAAUCUUCAUGUUGUUUUGUUCUUAACGUUGUUUUCUUUCCAUUUCCAGCAAUUUUUGUGUCAUUUGCCAAGUUAGAAGCAAAAAUGUUAUGUUUCCUUCCAGAUCACUGAUAAAGACAUUGAAUGGCAAUGUCUCCUUUGAAGCCGUUAAUAACCCAUUAGAAGAGAGCAGAAACAUGCUGAUAUAGCUGCUAAUUGGUUCUGAGGGCAUGUAAUGUGGAGGGCAAGUUGGAUAGAGAAUUCAGAACAACUCACUUGGGCCAAUUUUCACAGAUUCCAAUAUCUUCUCAUUAUAAAAGACUGAGGGAUGGUGGGCUUCUGGCCAUGACGUUGCAACUAACCAGACUUUGGAUCUGUCUCAGUCCAGACAAUAUAGACGGAUGCAUCCUUAAACCCAAGUAGAUGUAGUUCACUUGAUGGGAUGAUCACAACAACAUCUGACUACUUUCCUAGAAACUGGUGGAGCAGUAGAGUUUUCACAAGCUGAGCUUAAUCAGGACGUUGGCACAUGUUCAGUUUUACUGUCUGUUACCUUCACACAGCUUGGAGUAGCUAAUAACAUGCAAGACUUUCCAAGAUUUUAUCAUCUGCAGAUGACAGGUGAUAUCACGAAGAAAUUGAAUGUUUGCAUUUGCCUCACAGGAAAACAUAGAAAUGCACAAAAAUGCCCAUGAAGCUCUUCUAUGUGACAACACUGAGGCCAGCUCUGAAGGAAGUGAUGGGGUCACCAUGGAGGCCUGACAGUGUGCUAACUUAGCAUACACACUAACCUUAGUCCUCAGAGCCUCGGAGGGCUGUCUCGGAAUUGCUCCUACUCAGGGGAUUCAUAGAGGGAGGGCAGGAUAAGAAAGGACAGCUGCAUAAAUUGGAGGCAUUCACCUUGGUGGAAGAAAGGUAACAGUUUGUGCCGCAUCAUAAUCAGUCAGAAUCUCAUGCUUCACCAACCAGCGCUGAGUACAAUAGUAUAUAAAAUGACAAAGUAAUGGACAUCCUGUGACAUCAUAGCAACAAUUCUGUUUAAAAUUGCAGGUGUGGAUAAAAUCUGAGAGAAAAAUCCUGCAUUGCCUCAUCACACACUUUGUACGGCAUGGGUAUGUAUCACAUCAGAUAGGCUACUUCGCUUCAAACACAACUUGCUUACAUUUCUAGCAUGACCCAAAGAUAUCCGAAGGCAGUCACGCAUUCCCUAAUUCUAAUUACUUGCCUGUGGCUGGCUUAAAAUGUGCACCAUAAUUAUCUAACUUCCAGGAUAUAGUUGCUACGCCUUGGAGGCCCUGCUGAGAAGAAGGACAAUUUCCAGCGCUGGUUUAAAACAUCAGGGAGCACAAUGUCUUUCCUCAAACAUCUUGAAGAGUGAGAGUCUCUCGCAGGAAUUCUGGCACUGCUUCACUGAAAAAUCAGGCGUUCUUCAAAAGCAGACCUGUCAGAAGGCAGCCUGAAUAGCAUUGGGUGAGAUUUUCAUGCAUCUUUCACUGGGGUGUGAUUUGCAGCAAGGUGAGGUGCAGUGUGUGAAAGGCAUGCCCGCUGACAUGAAGAUAACUUGAUGACUCAAGUCUGGCGGAUCUUCGAAGACAUUAGUUCCCUCCUGGGAAAAGUAAAAUAAAAUAAUCUUCCAUUUUAUAUUCCAGUGAUGGAUGCUUUGUUAUUGUGUAGCCUUUAUACUCCCAGCAGCAAGUACUGAAGAACAUGAAGAACUGCUGUGGUUAAAUCACUCAAUGCAAAUCUACUUGGAUACACUUGCCCUUUCUUCUGCAUUCUUCUCUGGAAUGAUUUGCCCUUUUCCUACGAAAACAACCCAUCAUGCCAAGACAUCCUUUAGCUGAAAUGAAGCUUCCUGAAAGGCUAAACCAUGUAGGGAGAAUGGCUAUACAAGUGCACGGCAGUGUGUUCACCACAGUCAUUAGUCCAAGGCUCCUACUUGCUAACCUAUCACGAGCUACGUGAAUGGGCGUCAUCUUUUAUGCAAUGGGCUUUGCACUCUGUACAUUCAGGAAUACACAUAGAUAAAGUCUUAUUUUCCACAGGCGGAGUCUUUAGCCACCUGAGGCACUCUUCAUCUUGUGUUUGUUUACACUCAUUUGUGGGCCAGGGUUCCUUAGUAACGACGGUGUUAAUGAGGCUGUGCCAUGAAAUACGUGUAUAUGCACUUUGACCGUUUAUGAUGUGAUAACCCUUUUACAUCAAAUUUCCAUUUCAGAUAUCUCUUUUGUUCUCUGUCUGUCACCUCAGUGGGGUUGUUACCAACCUCCAGGAGUAUCUUCCAAGGUAGGAGGACAUCAUUAUGUUGUUUCCUCCUUCUUUCCUCUUCACUAUUUUAUUGCCAAUGUGACAUUCUGGCUUUGUUCUCAUUUCAAGAAAACUAAUUCCUCUUCAAAAAUUCUGUCUUCUGAAAAGGAAUAACCUCCAUUGGAAAUGUCAGCUGCUGAUAAGACUUCUGUCCCUCUGUUCUGUGACGGUGGGGUGGGGAACUGGUCAGGUGCCAACAGGCGGUUCAGGUUGCCACCUUGAAAGCAAAUUUUCCUUGAGAAUGGAGAACGAGUGUUGCAAAUCUCAGAAGGACAAAUGGUAUCUCUGAAGGGAGUGGCACUGGGAAAGCAUUCUGAUUUCCAUUCCUGAAUGUCUCAAAAAAUAGCACAGAAAACCUAUGCGUUCAUUUUGAAUAUCCCUUCCGGGGGCCCUUGGGAGAUUCCUACCACACACUUAAGCUUCUUUUGGUAAAGAUCUACAGUGCAAAAUUGUACCAUCAGAGAGUGAUGAACACAGAGCGUAACUUGGAUAGUUGGUAAUAAUUCUCUGUCUGCUGAUGAUUUGUUUUUUUGCAGAGCUGUUGUAUUGGAAAGGGAUUUUGAAAUGCAUGGUGUUACCCAGGCUGCAUCCAUUGCUCUUUCGUGCUAAACUGCUAUGAAACUUCCCAGCUUGUAUUUGUCAGCACAGCAGCCUGGUUCUUUGAAGACAACCAGAAGCAGGGAUUUCUUUUGUAAGGUGCUUAACCUACAUUUCAACCCUAUUAAAACAAGCAAAGAGAAACCAGUACCGUCCUCUUAUUCAUUUCGUACUUAUUUGCUAAGUGAGUAACAGCAGUGCUAUCUCUUGCCUACCAAAUCAUGCUGUACCGUCAGACAGGAGGAAACGGGACGUUCAUUUUCCUCAAGGGCAUCUCUUAGGCAUGUGAGCUGACUUCCUCAUUGAUUGCCACUUGUCAAUAUGUAAUCAGAAGCCGAGCGGUUGCCUCUUUCAUAGUCUGCCACAGAGCAUUCCCCUAGAGCUCUCUGCUUAUUAGAGGGGAAUAGGGAUCUGGUUGUUAGGUAUUUAUCCUCUUAUUUCAACACACAUUUUACCAUAGCAAAGGGAGCAGAAACGACAUUGACUAAAGUAAAAUAAAUUGGCAUUAAGAGGAUUUCAGUGGAUGUGUGGUUUUGUUUCCUAAAAUACCCAGAGUGUGGGAAUGAGAAAGGUUGAGGCUUUCGUCAUCAAUUUGGUGUGUCUUACAGAAAGGUUCAAAGGUGGUCAGAAAGAUCAGGCUUGGCUUCGCCAGGAGCUUUUGAGAAACAAGGUCAGCACCUUUUGCAGAAAGUCUAUUUGUUUGCAGUACUUCAGGGAGUCGCAGGGAUGAAAUGGUUUCUGAUCAGAGUAAUUUAACAGCCAAGAGAAGAAGAAAAAUAAACCUAAAUCCUUCCCAAGAUGAUAAAUUUUUAAUUCCAAACCAGAAGCCUCAAAAUUCUUUUCCACACCCCAGCGCUUGACUUCUGUGCACUGAAUAAUGACGUCUUAUUAAACACUUGUUAAUUGCUGUGACACUGAAGGCAAGUUAGUACAGGUCGAUUGCAUUUCCAGUUCUGCCAGCGUGUAGUCCCCAAGCUUUCACAACUACCGUGUUACAAAACAAUUCCAAUAAUGAUUCCACACCUUAUCUGUUGAAAACACACCAUUACGAAUCUUCAUAUAAUGAGCAUGCCCUCAUAUUUCUACAGAACACGUUGCCACGAUAAGUGGCCAUACAAACCAAUCUCUAUCAGGACACACUCGGCAGUAUCAGCAUGAUGCAAAUGCAGACAUUUUGCAGCAAGGAUUCUUCUUGUAGAGCUUAUUGCAGAGAUGAGAAAAUCACCUGAAAUUGAUUUUUCAGACAAGCCGUGUUAUGCUGCAUUAUGCUAUGACUUAUUACUUCUCAACCUGAUAAAUGCGGUCAACUAUUGAUUUUGCAGUCUUUACGGAAGGGUUUUACUUUGGGACAGUGAAAGAGCAACUAUGUUCAAUCAAACAAUGAAAUCGGCACUGGUACAGAUGCUAAAUAGAUUCUAAUCCAAAGCAGAUCUUAUUAAUGGUCAAGAACACCAUCACACAUGAAUGCAUCUCAUUGUGGAAGCCGAGUCCUCAGGGAGCAACCUACACCAAUUAGCAGAGGCCUUGGCACAAACACUUCCAGCCACUCCGUCCUCCCGUACACGUCUCAAUGCUUUUAAGAAAAUUACACUGUAGCCUCGUGUAUAACAGCAUCAAGGAGGGAAACAAAAAUCUUGCAUCUUUCUGUUUUCCUUUCAGAGAAAAAGAGAGGUUUCACAAUCUGAUAAUGCAGCCUAAACACUCUUACAGCUUAGUUGAGGGGGCGGAAGCAUGAAGGAGAUACGCAGACUGUUUCAUCAGAUUUUCUGUCCUCAUUUCAGAAGAGUGUUCAAGAGAUCACAGCAGGGCGUCCUAUGGUGCUCUGCAGAAAGACUGAAGCUGUAUUAGGGAAGUUUUUGAAGCCCGUAACAUCAAAUGAUUUUCCCUAUCUGCCCAGAGACACAAUCUUCAGUUUUCAAAAGGGAAGCAGAGGGGGUUUAUUUCCCAACCAAUUAUGCUGCUCCCCUCUUAAGGCAAAAUAAAGCUGCAAAUUAACACGAAGCACUACAAGAACACGCUUCCAGGCCACGUGAAACAUCCCACUGAUAACGCCAGGAUAUGGAUGUCAAAGGGCACAGCUCUUCACAAUGAAAGCAAAAACAGCACUCCUGACUCUACAACACCAAGAAUAGCUGCAAGAGGCUUCUUAGGCUUUCAUUGAAUUAUGUACAGAAUCCCGGCAUGGCUGAGGCAGGCAGGGCCCUCUGGGUCCCCCAGUCCCAGCAAUGCUGCAGCAGGGCCACCCAGAGCAGGGCGCCCAGGCGGCUUCUGGAGACCUCCAAGGAGGAAACCCCACAGCCUCUGGGCAGCCUCACAACAGAGGCGCUCCUUCAUCUCCAUGACCCUACACUGGUCUUUUUCUAGUAAGCCCACAGUUCUCUUGUAAUGGGUCACUCAAAACUGGAGCCAGCACUUCAGGUGCGGCCUCACCAGUGCUGUGUAGAGGAGGAUCAAUUCUGAGCUCCUGGCAGUGUUCCGAUGCAGCCAAGAAUACCGUCAUCCUUCUUAGCAGCAAGGGCAUGCUGCUGGCUCCGGUUCAACUUGGCAUCUGUGCCACCUUUUCCAUUUUACAUUUAUGAAUCUGACUUAAAUUUUUAUUUUUGAAUAGCUGGAAAUAAAUACAUAGUUCUUCAAUGUGAUAAUGAAUGCUUUUAAAGUGGGAAACAGAUCCUGCUGGGUAUCUUUAAGGAGGAAGUAAACUCACAGAGGCUCCUCUGAAAUUCUGGUUUCUCCUUAUAAAGGGUUGUUUGGGUUGCUUGGUAGUAUUUGGUCACCAUGUUCCCAACAGAUGUGUCAUUCACAGGCUUUCUAACAGCGCUUCUCAUGUGUUGGUGUGAGUUUAUCUCAGUCAUUGGAAAAGCUCUUCUCCAGAAUCCCAUUUUUCCUUAUAUAUAACAAAGUAAAAGAUAUAUUCACAGUCCUCAUUAUUAUGGUAAUAUCUGUGAAGCUACAAAUUGGAUCACACAAGAAAAUCACAGUGAAUGUACAAACCCCUUGAAACAACAUCACUGGGAAGCACUAUGUACUGCAUACUCUUGAAGGGAGUGUUAAAUCUUAACUCUUAAGGACAAACUCAAGAGUCAUAAAUCAGACAUGAAAUGCACUGUCGUAAAUAAAAAGGUACAAAAUAGAAAAUGCCACAAGAGCCACACGUGUUAUGUUUACAAUUAAAGUGCACGGUACCUCCAAGGUCACUUCUUCCCAACAACCACUGUUCCAAGUUUCCCCACUGGGACAAACCAGUCUUCUAAUGGGUUAAGUCGAACAAUUUCUAGCAAAGGGAUGCUCACACUUUCUGUCCACCUGCACUUUGGGAUCCUCCCGGAAUGCAUUCAGCUCUGCCGAGAGACCAGCUGUGCAUGUUUCAAGCAGCAUUCUUUUAAAUCCCAGUUAGGCAACACGCAGAUAGGAAACAGCCAUUUUUGGAGAGCAAAUAAUGAGAAAAAAGGGACCUGUUUUGUUCUGCUUUAUUGAAACCAGGCAUCCUCAAAUCAGAGGCAUUUAAGACGUUUAUUAGCGUUAAUCAUUGCAGGUUAAAUAAAACACAGAAGGUACAUCUCAGGGCAAAAAUAUAAUUAGGUAUGAUACAAUUAAUACGUAAAACUGAAUGUAAAGUAUGAACAGAUUGCAGCAUCCCAUACAUGCAGCAUGUGGGUCCAGCCCAAUCGAAGCUCUUACAUAAACAAAACAGAGGAAGAGUACUUGGAAAGUGAUUUUAAACGCACAAUUUACCACUGACUCUGGCUUAAAUAGUUAAGGGUAGGAUAGCAAACUACAUCAUCACUGUACUGAAAAGGUCUGUGUGUAGACUGAAUGCUCUUUUUACAACCUAAUAAUGUAUACCAUCAUGUGCCAUGAAGGAUUACUGAGCAGACAAGGGACAAUAGGUAACUUUCCCAGUUACUAACGUAUACACAUGGUAUGUUAUAGUACUUUAGAUAGACCUGCUAUACCAUGAAUAAAAAUAAUCUGAUUUUUUUUUUUUAAUGCAACUUCAACUCUUCCAAAUGCCAAACAUUGGACAAUAAUGACCUUUUCUAUAUUUCUCAGCUGCAAGACCAGCUUUUCCACAAUAUGCCAUUUUCAUGCAUAAGAACGGCAAGUCAACGAUUGUACCUAUGCGUAUCUCCAUCUUCUUGCUACCCUCAGCCUUAAGUUUUAACUUCAUAAAGGUGAAACGACCAUAAACAAAAAAUGUACUUACAGAAUACAAUGUUCAGUAUAUGAGACCCAGCCAUAGUGGAAAAAAUACACUACUUGUCAGCGUAACAAUAAAAAACUGCACUUAUAUACACACUCAUAUGCAGAGCUCACGAUAAGCCGGAAAAGCGAGUCACCUGCAGCUGGAGGGUCACAGCCAUGAAUCACGGUGCAAACAGACUCCACCUGGCACCACACAGUGCCCCAGUCCUGCUGCCAGCUCGCUUAAGACAAGCAGACUCCAACAGAGCCAGCACCAGCUGGUUGAUGAAGAACUGCACACUGUUCUUAUCACUGUCAGGAGAGCAGAACAACGACAGAGUUAAGUGCUCCUGUACGGUCAUGGAGCUUUCAACCGGCCAUUAGCCAGUAGGGAAUUAUGAUCACUGCUGAAAGCUUUGACUCAGAGAUUGUUUGCUUCUCUGUCGUUUUUCUGGCUGUUUAUGAAGGGUGGUGUUACUUACUUUGCAAACAACAAAGGCAACGAAAGAAAGCAAAAAUUCUACACGUGAAGAUCGCUAUUUCUUAAACCAACCAUUCCCCCACAGGAAGAGGCAGGCUAAAGCUGUACUUCAGCUUUGACAAACAGGAGAUAAACUGACAUCAUCACUGAAGGCUGGCCCUAUCUUAGAAGUAAACACAAGCUACUACACAGCAUUGUGCCAUGCUGUUUCUACACGAGGCUCCAGAGUUCUCUGCUGAAGCUCACCGUAACCCAAGAAGAGCUCAAGGCCAGGUUGGAUGGGCCCUGGCAAGCUGAGCUGGUGGCUGGCAGCCCUGCUCAUGGCAGGAGGUGGGCUGGAUGGGCUCUGAGGUCCCAAGCCACCCUGCGACUCCAAGAUUCUAUGAACUUAUUUGAGUGAGAAAAAGAAGAAAAAGGUAAUUGAGAUUUAGCCUACCUAACGCAAAAAUACCUUUGAGCCUACUUUGCUAGCAUUUGAAUUGUAAAAUCUGCCAGAAAUCCUUUGUAAUGAUUUCCAAUUUUACACUAUUUAAAGGCGUAACUCAAAAACCCAUUCUGAAUCACAAGCAGCUUGCUGGCAUCUGUGAGAACUGGUUGGUCAAGACAACAUCUGUCCCAUUCAGAUCCGCAUGAAUGGCCAGCUCUAGCAAAAACUCAGAGUACAAAGUACUCGAAGAACCGUAUUACAAAGCCUUCAGUCAUUUCAAGUCGGGCUUAAUGAGAUUUGAGACAUCACAUUAUGAAGACAGAUACCAUAGAGAUCUAUGAAAAGUUAAAAAUCAGUCACGCGUGACUACUAUACGUUCAGCUAAAUUUUGUGUUAAAACAUGUGGGCUCCACCUCACCUUGUUUAACAAGUGUAGCCUUUCACAGAUGGGCCACAGACCCCAUCAAUACCAUUAAUCUGUGUUGGUGAUCAGUUCCUAAUAGUUUAGGCCAUGGUAACCUCUCUCACCCUCCUCUAGUUGUCUGGGCUCCCCAAGCAGACUCACACCAGGGUGGGAUAUAAGAACUCUAUUUUUGCUUUAUUAAAACACAGCCUUUAAGCUCAAACCAUUUUUAAAUGCUGCUGUGGUUCUUCCAACAGCCCCAUGGAAAUGUCUUGGAUGGCCCCUAAAGGAGCCUUACCAACUAUCAACUGUGAUGACUACUGAAUUUUCAUGUGAACGAUGAUGGAUUACCAGUAGAACAGUUGCUGCAAUUAAGCAGCAGCAUGGAUAAGCACAGGCAACAAAACUGAAAGGUCAUCCUAACUCUCCUUUUGGUUGCAAGCUCUUAUGUCUGUGCUUACAAAUUUUCAGGUGUGAGUGCUUUCAAAAGAAUCCAAAACAUCAGAGAAGAUAUUAGGUGAAAAAACAGUGCAGUUUAGGUUCUUAGAUAAGGUGAGGUGGGGAACACCCAGCUGAUCUUAACUAUUUAAGCCCUCCAAAGAAAAGGAAAUAACCCCAUUCAGUAGACCCGUCUCUGUUUCAAGCACUAAUAACUGGUACCAUUUUAUCAAAGCAACCACACAACUAAGCAAGAAAGUCUGGGUUUAUGCACAAAUACUGAAGCCCAGCUCUCACCUGCCUGUUUAUGAUUUAUAACAAUAAGUUACUUUUCUCUUUUAUAAGGCCCCCAGAAAAGGUGUGGUGAGGCCAGUUUUCCCAGUAAGAGAACAAAGCAAUGUUGGACUAUGAGGUGAACUCACCCUAAUUUAGAUUUCCUGAACUGAUGAAAAAGCAAAAUCAGUCACAUGUAUUCAUAAGAGAUGGAAGCGAAGAACACAAUUUCACGUUAUUUCUAGUUCAUAGCCAUCCAUGGGAUUUAUUUUUCUACACUGUGCUGCAAAUAAGCUUCAAAGGCAUCAUGCAGUAGUCCCUCUGUAUUGCAUCCCACGUUGCUGAAGAAACUAUUCCGCAAAAGAAGAGAACGGCACUUGUAAGGAAACACUCUAUGUUGCUUUAUUAGAUUCCAGCCUUUAAGCCCAAACAGUUUUUGCACAGAACUGUCAUCCUUCCAACAGCCUUCUGGAGAUGUCUUGGAGCGAGUUAGGGAAGGGGUCCUCCUGACCCACUGGGGCAACGUGGCACUCUCUUCUAGAAAUAGAAGUGGGAUUGUUAAGCUGAGAGAUCUUUAGCCUGGGACACAGAUUUGGAGGAAACUUGAUAAUAGUAAUUAAGCUGAUAUUUGUGGUUUUUUUUUAAACAAUUUCAGCAAUUAAUGAAGCAUAUGCCAUGGAAAUCACUUCAAGCAAAAUGCAGCUGCUGCUACUUCAGUUCUUUCCAGAGCAAUGGGGACUGUGUGGGGUCCCAGCAGCCUCCUUCGCGACAAUUCCUUCCUUCACAUGGCACAGCUCCUCCCGGUGCAGAUGUUGACUUGCAGCCUGAACAAACCGCACUUGCUCAUCCUUUGGAUCCAUUUUUCUAGUUAGUAAAUUAAGUUCAAAUCUUGCUGGUAUUUACUGAAAGCACAAGAUGAAGCUACAUCUCCAGAAAAAUAUAGAAGCAGAGUCCAGCUAACAAGGCAGAGAAACUUUCCCAAAACUCAGGAGUUAUAGGUUUUUGCACUUUGUUAUUACACAGAAAACUCUAAAAACAUGCCAAGUCCACUUUGCAGUAUAAAAAGAGAUUUCUUAUGGUAUCAAAUCUAGAACUUUUAUAAAAAGGUUCUUUUUAUUAAAAAAAAAAAAAAAAAAAAAAA
This is a non-coding RNA of Coturnix japonica (Japanese quail), 10601 nucleotides long. The record is from RefSeq and is a predicted model, not a curated record. NCBI's taxonomy places the organism in Eukaryota, Metazoa, Chordata, Aves, Galliformes, Phasianidae.